Molecule: ribosomal RNA, 496 nt
Filed under: Pantoea sp.
Lineage: Bacteria; Pseudomonadati; Pseudomonadota; Gammaproteobacteria; Enterobacterales; Erwiniaceae
Description: bacterial SSU rRNA
Rfam family: Bacterial small subunit ribosomal RNA
Source: RNAcentral
AGAACCUUACCUACUCUUGACAUCCAGGGAAUUUGGCAGAGAUGCCUUAGUGCCUUCGGGAACCGUGAGACAGGUGCUGCAUGGCUGUCGUCAGCUCGUGUUGUGAAAUGUUGGGUUAAGUCCCGCAACGAGCGCAACCCUUAUCCUUUGUUGCCAGCGAUUCGGUCGGGAACUCAAAGGAGACUGCCGGUGAUAAACCGGAGGAAGGUGGGGAUGACGUCAAGUCAUCAUGGCCCUUACGAGUAGGGCUACACACGUGCUACAAUGGCGCAUACAAAGAGAAGCGACCUCGCGAGAGCAAGCGGACCUCACAAAGUGCGUCGUAGUCCGGAUCGGAGUCUGCAACUCGACUCCGUGAAGUCGGAAUCGCUAGUAAUCGUGGAUCAGAAUGCCACGGUGAAUACGUUCCCGGGCCUUGUACACACCGCCCGUCACACCAUGGGAGUGGGUUGCAAAAGAAGUAGGUAGCUUAACCUUCGGGAGGGCGCUUACCACU